UCCUCUCUCUCUCUGCGCUGCAGCGGUGCUGCGUUAUCGGGCGGCGAGCUCCCGUUCGAAAUCUACCGCCAUCCGCCACCCUGAAGCUCUCUGUCGGACUGCACGGAGCAGGGCAGGACGCCUACAACACCCCUCGAGACAAAGAGGGCAGUACUCUUAAGGUGCCAGGGAGAAGUUUAGAAAGGAUUCAAGAACCAAACGUCCGCAUGAAGGGUCCCGAUCGUCCACAGAUGCUGCCCGACCUGCUGAGAUCUUUGAGUGGCUGGUUCUUUCAUGUGAGGGGACCACGGCUUCUGAGAACCCUGUCUGGGAACGUUUGAAGUACCCGAGCACCUUCUCACUGCAUCCCCAGGGUGUCCGUGAAGCUGGAGGCUGAGAUGGGAAAGUGUCUUGAGUCUGAUGUUGGCGGCGUUGCUGCAGGGUGUCUGUGACGAAGACGGAGGCUGAGGUGGGGAAGUGACUGAUAGCGCACCUGCUCCAGGUUGUGCAUUGAAGACGGAGGCUGAGGUGGGGAAGUGACUGAUAGCGCACCUGCUCCAGCACAGUUUCUCAACUGGGGAGCAGAUGAGAGGACUCGUGAUUGGAAUAGUCACAGCUUUGUACUGGAAAGACUGCUGAAGCCCAAAUCCUGGAGUCUGUUGUUAUUUUCUGUUCAUUAAAACAAAUACACACUG
Long non-coding RNA from Mobula hypostoma (lesser devil ray), 674 nucleotides. RefSeq lists it as uncharacterized. NCBI's taxonomy places the organism in Eukaryota, Metazoa, Chordata, Chondrichthyes, Myliobatiformes, Myliobatidae. The transcript is spliced from 7 exons. The record is from RefSeq and is a predicted model, not a curated record.